GGCGAACGCUGGCGGCGUGCCUAAUACAUGCAAGUUGAGCGCUGAAGGUUGGUACUUGUACCAACUGGAUGAGCAGCGAACGGGUGAGUAACGCGUGGGGAAUCUGCCUUUGAGCGGGGGACAACAUUUGGAAACGAAUGCUAAUACCGCAUAAAAACUUUAAACACAAGUUUUAAGUUUGAAAGAUGCAAUUGCAUCACUCAAAGAUGAUCCCGCGUUGUAUUAGCUAGUUGGUGAGGUAAAGGCUCACCAAGGCGAUGAUACAUAGCCGACCUGAGAGGGUGAUCGGCCACAUUGGGACUGAGACACGGCCCAAACUCCUACGGGAGGCAGCAGUAGGGAAACUUCGGCAAUGGACGAAAGUCUGGCCGAGCAACGCCGCGGGAGUGAAGAAGGUUGUCGGAUCGUAAAACUCUGUUGGUAGAGAAGAACGUUGGUGAGAGUGGAAAGCUCAUAAAGUGACGGUAACUACCCAGAAAGGGACGGCUAACUACGUG
This 497-nucleotide ribosomal RNA is filed under the name uncultured bacterium. RNAcentral's name for it is "partial 16S ribosomal RNA". It matches the Rfam family "Bacterial small subunit ribosomal RNA", at positions 28 to 507 of the family's 1533-position model. The record is from RNAcentral.